ACAAUGGGCGAAAGCCUGAUCCAGCCAUGCCGCGUGUGUGAAGAAGGCCUUUUGGUUGUAAAGCACUUUAAGCGAGGAGGAGGCUACCGAGAUUAAUACUCUUGGAUAGUGGACGUUACUCGCAGAAUAAGCACCGGCUAACUCU
RNAcentral lists this ribosomal RNA (145 nucleotides) under Acinetobacter sp. RNAcentral describes it as "partial 16S ribosomal RNA". It matches the Rfam family "Bacterial small subunit ribosomal RNA", at positions 368 to 504 of the family's 1533-position model. The record is from RNAcentral. Lineage: Bacteria; Pseudomonadati; Pseudomonadota; Gammaproteobacteria; Moraxellales; Moraxellaceae.